Long non-coding RNA from Alosa sapidissima (American shad), 839 nucleotides. RefSeq lists it as uncharacterized. The transcript is spliced from 3 exons. NCBI's taxonomy places the organism in Eukaryota, Metazoa, Chordata, Actinopteri, Clupeiformes, Clupeidae. The record is from RefSeq and is a predicted model, not a curated record.
GCAACAGCCUUUUCUACUUUUUCUACUUUGCAGAAGAAGAUGCUGAUAUUGUCAUCCCAAAUGAGUGUCUGGCAAAGGACAGUUUUCUGCAGACGGGUUCAGGGAUUGGAAGACUGCUUUGGAGACAGGGACUUUGACCGACAUGACGCAGGCCAACACCACAAGCAACUAUCAAAAGCGUACUUGAUAAAUGAUCCAGAUGAUGCACAGCUGUCGGCACAGACAGCCUAACAAAUUGAGUUUAAAACAAAAGAAAGGGAGAGCCGAUUCCAGGCAGUAUUCAGCCUUGUAGACAUGGCAUCUACACUCGCCAGAUUGAGAUUGCCCUUUCGAGGCCAUGAUGAAUCUGAAACGUCAAAAACAAAGGUGUUUUCCGAGAAAUAACCGGAUUAGUGGGAAGAUAUGAUGAAGUUCUUCAUACCCACAUCGAAUUGUAGGGAUGGCCCGAUACCAAUACUGAACAAACUAUCGAUCAGCAAUCUUCCGAUGUGGAAGAACAACCCCUCUACAGUAACGCUACUCUACUCGACCCCAGCUGCAAUAUGCCAAGGAGUUGCUGAUGCGUGAGCUGUUGAAGUCGUCUGGAGAAGAGGAGGAUCCUGACCUGCACGAACCUCCUGUCAGAAAACCCUGCAGGGACCAGGCAAGCAGUAGCCUGGACAGUAUAUAUAUGAUGAAGUAGCAGAUGAGCAAGCACCAGUCUUGCUACACAUAGCUCAAGUAGGUUCUACUGCACAAUUAGAGACAUGCCUAAGGGAGACCACAAUUUCUUGAGAACAAACCACUAGAAUACUGGGCAGUUAACAAAGUGCAGUUCCCUACUCUGGCCAAAAUGGCAU